GGAUCGUUGCCGGAGUGGCUAAACGGGCUCGCCUGGAAAGCGAGAGCUCCUUAGGGGGCAUGGAGGUUCGAACCAUUCACGAUCCGCCA
This 89-nucleotide transfer RNA is filed under the name compost metagenome. Its description in RNAcentral is "tRNA-Ser". It matches the Rfam family "tRNA". Rfam says of the family: Transfer RNA (tRNA) molecules are approximately 80 nucleotides in length. The record is from RNAcentral.